UGUGAUGUUCGACAAGGACGUAUGGUUGUGAUGGACAGGUGUCCACAAAUUUUUGGCCAUAUAGUGUAUAUUAGGGAAAUCAGUUUGAUCAGAAAUAUAUAUAUAUAUAUAAAAGGCCUUAUCCCUGACCAGGUGAACUAUCAUGAGUAUGUGUUGUUGUUUUUUAAAUUGAGACAGCGAAGCACUUCUGUAAGUCGCUCUGGAUAAACACAUCUGCCCAAUGCCAUAAAUGCAAAAUGUAAUCGUAAAGCAACAUUGGCACAAUUGUACCAUAAUCCAUAUAAUACUUUAAUAAGAGGCAUACUGUAUAUUCAAUAAUGACCUGAGCUCAGGUUACUGUCCGUGUGUAUGCUCUCCUCGUGUCUGCAUGGAUUUCCACCAGGUUCUCUGGUUUCCUCCGACCUCCUCAUAACAUAGCAGUAACCGGAUUGGCUACGAUAAAUUGCUCCUAGACGUGACCGUCGUGCAAGGUGUCCUGAGAUGAACUGCCAGCCCAGUUCCUGGGAUAGAUGCCAGAUCCACUGCGACCCUGACUUGGAUAAAACGGCUACCGGAAGUGAACGAGACGGAGAUGUGAAACUAAGCUCACUGCGAAAGGACCAGCGGAGCGUAACAGUGCCGGAUAAAUGAUUUGUUAAGGUUCUUUUUCCUUCAGGUACAUGAGGGUCACGGGGAACCUGGAGUCUAUCCCAGGGAGCAUCGGGCACAAGGCGGGGUACACCCUGGACGGGGUGCCAGUCCAUCGCAGGGCGCAAUCACAUACACACUCACACACCCAUUCAUACACUACGGACACUUUGGACACGCCGAUCAGCCUACCAUGCAUGUGUUUGGACUGGGGGAGGAAACCGGAGUACCCGGAGGAAACCCCCGCAGCACGGGGAGAACGUGCAAACUCCGCACACACAGGGCCACGGUGGGAAUCGAACCCCCGACCCUGGAGGUGUGAGGCGAACGUGCUAACCACUAACAUAUUUUUGGAGACAUAUCAUUUGACACCAUUAUGUGACCUGAUCAAAUAAAAGCAGCUCUUGGUUGUGAGCUCUGACUUUUGUACUUUGCUGUGUAUACUUUAUUAUUCAUCAGUCAUCAUAUAGUAAAGAAUAACUGAAUAAUCAACAACAACAACAACAAUUACCUUGUAGAUUUACAGUAUUUUACUGGCAGCAGAGUU
Long non-coding RNA from Ictalurus furcatus (blue catfish), 1174 nucleotides. RefSeq lists it as uncharacterized. Lineage: Eukaryota; Metazoa; Chordata; Actinopteri; Siluriformes; Ictaluridae. The transcript is spliced from 3 exons. The record is from RefSeq and is a predicted model, not a curated record.